Molecule: microRNA precursor, 58 nt
Filed under: Saimiri boliviensis boliviensis (Bolivian squirrel monkey)
Lineage: Eukaryota; Metazoa; Chordata; Mammalia; Primates; Cebidae
Source: RNAcentral
UGGGCUAGGGGAGAUGACUGAGUAGAAAGUAUUCUAUUCAUUUGCCUCCCAGCCUACA